CCGAACCGGCCCGCGUCGAGUUCAGGGGGCUGCCGGAGGUCGCGCGUGCGGUCGGCACCGUCUCGGGUCGACCGAGCGUUCCGGCCGUCGGCACCCCUGCACUCUCGGCGAUUCKGGCCGGCCAAGCGCGGCGGGCAUCGGGCGAGGAGCGCGCGUCGGGCAGGUAGCGCAGCCGCCUGGCGGAGGCGAACUUAUAGCCGACCGCGCGGAGCGUCCGGAGCCCGCCGAGGAGAGCGGUGGCACUUCCACCCCAGCAGCGCAGGCCGCCUCGGCGGCGGGGGCUCUCUCGUUCGCUCGACGACCGCGCCGUGUCACUGCUCGCAGUGGCCGGGGUAGGUCGGAGUUCGUGCGGGAGGUCGUCCACUCCCUGCGCUCAGGCCGCUUGGCUAGACGUCGGCGGCAUUCGA
RNAcentral lists this small RNA (407 nucleotides) under Geodia sp. QM G333529. RNAcentral describes it as "partial large subunit ribosomal RNA". Lineage: Eukaryota; Metazoa; Porifera; Demospongiae; Tetractinellida; Geodiidae. The record is from RNAcentral.